UACGAAGGGGGCUAGCGUUGCUCGGAAUCACUGGGCGUAAAGCGCACGUAGGCGGAUCUUUAAGUCAGGGGUGAAAUCCUGGAGCUCAACUCCAGAACUGCCUUUGAUACUGGGGAUCUCGAGUCCGGAAGAGGUGAGUGGAACUCCGAGUGUAGAGGUGAAAUUCGUAGAUAUUCGCAAGAACACCAGUGGCGAAGGCGGCUCACUGGUCCGGUACUGGACGCUGAGGUGCGAAAGCGUGGGGAGCAAACAGGG
RNAcentral lists this ribosomal RNA (255 nucleotides) under uncultured bacterium. RNAcentral's name for it is "partial 16S ribosomal RNA". It matches the Rfam family "Bacterial small subunit ribosomal RNA", at positions 524 to 777 of the family's 1533-position model. The record is from RNAcentral.